RNAcentral lists this ribosomal RNA (470 nucleotides) under uncultured bacterium. RNAcentral describes it as "partial 16S ribosomal RNA". It matches the Rfam family "Bacterial small subunit ribosomal RNA", at positions 331 to 794 of the family's 1533-position model. The record is from RNAcentral.
CCAGACUCCUACGGGAGGCAGCAGUGGGGAAUCUUCCGCAAUGGGCGAAAGCCUGACGGAGCAACGCCGCGUGAUCGAAUGAAGGCCUUCGGGUUGUAAAGAUCUGUUGACAGGGACGAAUAAGCAAUGCGAAUAGUUUUGUGUAUGACGGUACCUGUUUAGAAAGCUCCGGCUAACUACGUGCCAGCAGCCGCGGUAAUACGUAGGGAGCAAGCGUUGUCCGGAAUUACUGGGCGUAAAGGGCGCGUAGGCGGCCUGCCAAGUCUGAUGUGAAAUACCGGGGCUCAACCCCGGGGCUGCAUUGGAAACUGGCAGGCUGGAGUGUCGGAGAGGCAGGCGGAAUUCCUAGUGUAGCGGUGAAAUGCGUAGAUAUUAGGAGGAACACCAGUGGCGAAGGCGGCCUGCUGGACGAUGACUGACGCUGAGGCUCGAAAGCGUGGGGAGCAAACAGGAUUAGAUACCCUAGUACC